CCUCUCCCCUCGAGAGAAUGUGAAUGCGUAGUAUUAGCACGUGCUAAUACUUCCGUGCGACGAAUCCUUUUCAGGACGUCUUCGGACACCUGGAUGUAUGACUUGGGAACUGCGGAAAAAGAAAGAAUCCGCCACGAAGACACCAAUACGCCAAGUAACAAGUAAAUGACCACUCGGCGAAGAAAGGAACACAAUCGCCAUGUAGGACUUCGACGAGCUUUGGAGUGCGUUCCGGAGUGCAUACGGAACUGUGGAAGCUCUAGUUGUCGUUGCGAGGACACUUCUUUGACGGGAAGUCGAAACAUGGACUAAAGCUUUCGUCGCCGUCGACGCAGGUUAGAAUUUAUCGAGGAGAGGGGGAAAUAAGCAAUGCGGCGACGUAGGUGUUGUGUUACUACUAUGUGUCUAUGCACUAUAUUGCUACUAGUUUGAUUUGGCGGUGGAACUAGUGCAUACCUCGCAAGGGAAGCGGGCGUAGCCCCGAACAAGCGAUGAGAACAAAGUGUGUUCGCCGCCACAGAAUGGAGACCAUUCUUCAUAUCUGAAGGUGAAGGAGAGAGCGAAUGAGUUGGAGCACAUCUUCGUCGAUGCACGUACAGAAGGCCCCUUGCAGUGCAGACUCGUGGGAGGAAAAAUGUAUUAGGAUUACUGGUUGCCCGCAGGAAGAACACAAGGUCACCAAUUGUGCACACGCAACAAGGGGUGUAAAAUACUUGGAAGAUUAGAUUAGGGGGAUAUACUGACCAAUGGAUUUUAGAUAGUAUAGAGCAGUCAUCUCAUAUAAAAAGACAAUAAAAGAAGUACUUCCUGAAGUGAACUCUACGUGAACCUUAAAUCGAUUUACAUACCCCAUAACAAAGUAUUAACAAGCAACGAAAGACUCAAGAAAUCAUUGGGCAGACGUGAUUGGAGUGUGAGGGCCUGUUGGUUCCACCCAGAACCCACGAUGAUAGUUACAGAUGAGGUCACAGUCAUCCCAACCCCCCACACGUCGGACACUAAUAGUUUGGCUGUGGCUCCCGUACAGAAUCGUCCAUCCAAUGACAAGCCUGGUGGGGAGAAUAAUGACACCUGCGUUAGGUGUGGAGAUGCCCCGCCCGACGCCAUGAAGGACAAACAGGGUCAGCUCCGGAACGCAGAUGGACUGAUAGAUGUGUUUGUCAUCGCGGGGCCGUGCACAAAGAUUAGAUGGAUGUGUUCCUCGUCUAAAUAUUUAUUCAUGUUUCUGUUUUUUUGUUGAGCGGGGUUGUAUCACAAAGUAUUUCAUUUAGCGGUCUCAUCUUGCUUGUCGAGCUUCACCCUUGUCGGUUCCUGGAUUAACCGCUGCAGUGGUGCACCUUUUGCUAAUGGCCUGACAGCUUCGGCAUGAACGACUUGAACCAACUUGCUGAUGGACCACAACAGUACACAGGAGAGUCUGGUAUAUGCUUCCUAUUAAACACAUCUCAGAAGCAAUUCAUUUAGCUGUGCUUCCUGUUGAUUGAAGCCAUAUGUAUCUAACUAGAGAGUAGGAAGGGCUGGGCAAUAAUGCAAUAUUAUGGUUUAUCCUGAUUGUAUGGUAUUGUAUUAUCAUGAAAUGAAGAUAUAGACUUAUCAGAUGCAGAGUUUUAUAGUCUAAAUUAAUUAUGAAAAUACAUACAAAAAAAUAUCAAAAUAGUCAACAUGAGAGAGAAAGGUGAACUAUUUUUAGUCCCAUACCCUACUAUCUUAGAUGUGCACAUGUAAGAUUUGUAUUGGUGAGAAUUUAAAAUACACAAAAUAAACUCAAAGUUGUGAACAUUUUUACAUUGGCAUUAAUACCUCUAGAUCAUUUUUGUGUGCUCGAUUGAGAAGA
Gadus chalcogrammus (walleye pollock) is the source of this 1834-nucleotide long non-coding RNA. RefSeq lists it as uncharacterized. NCBI's taxonomy places the organism in Eukaryota, Metazoa, Chordata, Actinopteri, Gadiformes, Gadidae. The record is from RefSeq and is a predicted model, not a curated record. The transcript is spliced from 3 exons.